Molecule: ribosomal RNA, 253 nt
Filed under: uncultured bacterium
Lineage: Bacteria
Description: partial 16S ribosomal RNA
Rfam family: Bacterial small subunit ribosomal RNA
Source: RNAcentral
UACGGAGGAUGCAAGCGUUAUCCGAAAUGAUUGGGCGUAAAGCGUCCGCAGGUGGCUAUGUAAGUCUGCUGUUAAAGAAUGAGGCUCAACCUCAUAAGAGCAGUGGAAACUACAUAGCUAGAGUGCGUUCGGGGCAGAGGGAAUUCCUGGUGUAGCGGUGAAAUGCGUAGAUAUCAGGAAGAACACCGGUGGCGAAAGCGCUCUGCUAGGCCGCAACUGACACUGAGGGACGAAAGCUAGGGGAGCGAAUGGG